RNAcentral lists this ribosomal RNA (871 nucleotides) under uncultured bacterium. Its description in RNAcentral is "bacterial SSU rRNA". It matches the Rfam family "Bacterial small subunit ribosomal RNA", at positions 10 to 835 of the family's 1533-position model. The record is from RNAcentral.
AGUUUGAUCCUGGCUCAGGAUGAACGCCCGGCUGUGUGCCUAAUACAUGCAAGUCGUACGCACUGGCCCAACUGAUUGAUGGUGCUUGCACCUGAUUGACGUUGGAUCACCAGUGAGUGGCGGACGGGUGAGUAACACGUAGGUAACCUGCCCCGGAGCGGGGGGAUAACAUUUGGAAACAGAUGCUAAUACCGCAUAACAACAAAAGCCACAUGGCUUUUGUUUGAAAGAUGGCUUUGGCUAUCACUCUGGGAUGGACCUGCGGUGCAUUAGCUAGUUGGUAAGGUAACGGCUUACCAAGGCGAUGAUGCAUAGCCGAGUUGAGAGACUGAUCGGCCACAAUGGAACUGAGACACGGUCCAUACUCCUACGGGAGGCAGCAGUAGGGAAUCUUCCACAAUGGGCGCAAGCCUGAUGGAGCAACACCGCGUGAGUGAAGAAGGGUUUCGGCUCGUAAAGCUCUGUUGUUGGAGAAGAACGUGCGUGAGAGUAACUGUUCACGCAGUGACGGUAUCCAACCAGAAAGUCACGGCUAACUACGUGCCAGCAGCCGCGGUAAUACGUAGGUGGCAAGCGUUAUCCGGAUUUAUUGGGCGUAAAGCGAGCGCAGGCGGUUGCUUAGGUCUGAUGUGAAAGCCUUCGGCUUAACCGAAGAAGUGCAUCGGAAACCGGGCGACUUGAGUGCAGAAGAGGACAGUGGAACUCCAUGUGUAGCGGUGGAAUGCGUAGAUAUAUGGAAGAACACCAGUGGCGAAGGCGGCUGUCUGGUCUGCAACUGACGCUGAGGCUCGAAAGCAUGGGUAGCGAACAGGAUUAGAUACCCUGGUAGUCCAUGCCGUAAACGAUGAGUGCUAAGUGUUGGAGGGUUUCC